Molecule: ribosomal RNA, 494 nt
Filed under: uncultured bacterium
Lineage: Bacteria
Description: bacterial SSU rRNA
Rfam family: Bacterial small subunit ribosomal RNA
Source: RNAcentral
CCUGGCUCAGAUUGAACGCUGGCGGCAUGCCUUACACAUGCAAGGUCGAACGGCAGCACGGGGCAACCCUGGUGGCGAGUGGCGAACGGGUGAGUAACAUAUCGGAACAUACCCUAGAGUGGGGGAUAACGUAGCGAAAGUUACGCUAAUACCGCAUACGCACUAAGGUGGAAAGUGGGGGAUCUUCGGACCUCAUGCUCAUGGAGUGGCCGAUAUCUGAUUAGCUAGUUGGUGAGGUAAAGGCUCACCAAGGCGACGAUCAGUAGCUGGUUUGAGAGAACGACCAGCCACACUGGAACUGAGACACGGUCCAGACUCCUACGGGAGGCAGCAGUGGGGAAUUUUGGACAAUGGGGGCAACCCUGAUCCAGCAAUGCCGCGUGAGUGAAGAAGGCCUUCGGGUUGUAAAGCUCUUUUGUCAGGGAAGAAACGGUGAGUUCUAAUAAAGCUUGCUAAUGACGGUACCUGAAGAAUAAGCACCGGCUAACUACGUG